AUAAAAGAAAGAGGGCUGCUUCUUUCAACCUCUGUUUUCUUCAACCUAGGAAAGACUCCGGCUUUACCCCUUUUAAAACAUAAGUACAGAUUAUGGGGUUUAUGGAAUUUGAGUUCUUGGGAUAUCACAUUGAUUACCCCUUUUCUCAUCUUAGGGUUCAUCAGGAGUGAAGGAUGGCAGAUGGGUUUCUUCCCGGUGAAAGAGGGUUUAUGGGAUUUGAGUUCCUAGGUUAAUUAUGAACUUUAAUGGGGUGGGUAAAGUGAAGCAGAAACUCCAGAGAAGAGUGCGGAACCAAGGAAGAAGAAUUUGGAUUUGUCCAACAUUUGCCAAUCAAUAUCUGAAGGGAGAUGUAUUUCUGGAGCCAAAUCUUCUUCGGCAACAGUGCUCAAACUCAUCUAAAGUCCCACGGUUAAUGGAUUCCAUUCACCAUGGGUGUGCACCAUUUGGUUUGUUUCAGAUUUUAUUGGCCAGUUUUGAUUUCGAUUUUUUAUUUUGGUUCAGUAUUGACACCUUUUCGUAUUCAGAGGAAACCCUUUUGAAAAAGCCUUGUUAUGCUUGAUUCUCGUUGCGGUGAAAUUAAAAUUUCUGCUGGAUCUCUGUGCAUAAAGUAUCCUUUAUCAAAAAACAAAGAGAAAUGUUUUAGCAAAUCAGAGGAGAAACUGUUUCUGUAAGACUGGGAAGCUGAUAAGAGUGAAUGAGUGAUCGUUAGAUGGCUGGUGGUGAAGUCAUUCCCAUACCUCUCAUCACUCCAUAUAAGAUGGGAAAGUUCCAACUUUCUUACAGGUUUGUCACAUUUAACCAUUUUAUCUGAUUUAAUAUUGGUUUUUUAUAUCUGGGUUGAGCUUGGAUUUGGUUCCAGUUAGUCUUUUGAGGAGCAUUUGUUGAAGUUAGUGGUGGGUUUUAUGUUUUGGCAUCUAAUUUUCUACAGAAAAGAAAAGGGUAGGAAGAAGCUUUAUACUGUAA
Molecule: long non-coding RNA, 963 nt
Organism: Macadamia integrifolia
Lineage: Eukaryota; Viridiplantae; Streptophyta; Magnoliopsida; Proteales; Proteaceae
Exons: 2
Source: RefSeq, a predicted model, not a curated record